UUCGGUGAGAGCGAGAAUCAUCUCUCCCAGAUAAUGGCACUCUCAAACAAGUUUCCAAGUUGUUUGAAAGGCUGUUUCUUGGUCAGAAGACUCUCAAUUCCUUCUGGA
This is a microRNA precursor of Cricetulus griseus (Chinese hamster), 108 nucleotides long. Ensembl annotates it as microRNA 488. Its record names the gene Mir488. The record is from Ensembl. Lineage: Eukaryota; Metazoa; Chordata; Mammalia; Rodentia; Cricetidae.